CACUGAAUUUCCAAAGCAGCAGAAUACCUGGAAACUCAAACAUGUAUUAAUGGGGCUAACAACAACAGAAACGGUCUAAACAGCUGGCAUGUCUAGUUACAAUAUUUGUGAAAGCUAUAUAAACAAUUGAUUGAUUCUAAAUGAACUUACAUUGUCUCAACAGAACAUGUUUGCUCCUAAAUAGUAACCAUUGAAGAUGGCACAUUUCUGGCUAUAAAGCUAGCAAGGUUCUCAACUAGUUUAUUUCUCUAAGACAAAUCAG
RNAcentral lists this unclassified non-coding RNA (262 nucleotides) under Hevea brasiliensis (rubber tree). Lineage: Eukaryota; Viridiplantae; Streptophyta; Magnoliopsida; Malpighiales; Euphorbiaceae. The record is from RNAcentral.